Molecule: long non-coding RNA, 228 nt
Organism: Hordeum vulgare subsp. vulgare (domesticated barley)
Lineage: Eukaryota; Viridiplantae; Streptophyta; Magnoliopsida; Poales; Poaceae
Exons: 3
Source: RefSeq, a predicted model, not a curated record
AUGAAGAUAAAAUUAAAUUCUCUCAUCGAACUAUACACUUUCUGCUCCCAUGGUUGAAAAACUUCCACCACGAGCAGAUGCAAGAGAAAAUUGUUGAGGCAACAAUUAAAGGCAUUGAUGCAUGCGAAGUGAAGGUUCCACAAGCUAAUUGUGCAAAAAAUGAAAGGAUAUUCUGUAACAACUGCAGAACAUCUAUAGUUGACUUCCACAGAAGCUGUGAUAAAUGUU